Molecule: long non-coding RNA, 243 nt
Filed under: Homo sapiens (human)
Lineage: Eukaryota; Metazoa; Chordata; Mammalia; Primates; Hominidae
Description: HSALNT0169243
Source: RNAcentral
AUGCUUUCAUUUAUUUUUUUUGCCUGUUGUUUGUUAAACAAACUAACUUUACUAACUAAAAGUAGUUUGCAUGGUAUAGUCAAAUUCAGACCAGACAUCAGUGAUAUACAAGCUGACAUCAGAGUAAGACUCUUGAUAAGGUUUGUGACAGCCUUUCUGCCUUCUUUGUAUUUCUAAAAGAACUCCUAGGAGCUUUACUCAACCACAGAUACCUCCUCAGACACCUACAUACUGCCCUGUAAA